This 450-nucleotide ribosomal RNA is filed under the name uncultured bacterium. RNAcentral's name for it is "partial 16S ribosomal RNA". It matches the Rfam family "Bacterial small subunit ribosomal RNA", at positions 354 to 796 of the family's 1533-position model. The record is from RNAcentral.
GUGGGGAAUUUUGGACAAUGGGCGCAAGCCUGAUCCAGCCAUUCCGCGUGCAGGAUGAAGGCCUUCGGGUUGUAAACUGCUUUUGUACGGAACGAAAAGCCUCUGGUUAAUACCCGGGGGUCAUGACGGUACCGUAAGAAUAAGCACCGGCUAACUACGUGCCAGCAGCCGCGGUAAUACGUAGGGUGCAAGCGUUAAUCGGAAUUACUGGGCGUAAAGCGUGCGCAGGCGGUUAUGUAAGACAGAGGUGAAAUCCCCGGGCUCAACCUGGGAACUGCCUUUGUGACUGCAUAGCUGGAGUGCGGCAGAGGGGGAUGGAAUUCCGCGUGUAGCAGUGAAAUGCGUAGAUAUGCGGAGGAACACCGAUGGCGAAGGCAAUCCCCUGGGCCUGCACUGACGCUCAUGCACGAAAGCGUGGGGAGCAAACAGGAUUAGAAACCCUGGUAGUCC